Long non-coding RNA from Mauremys reevesii (Reeves's turtle), 768 nucleotides. RefSeq lists it as uncharacterized. The record is from RefSeq and is a predicted model, not a curated record. The transcript has 5 exons. Lineage: Eukaryota; Metazoa; Chordata; Testudines; Geoemydidae.
GAAAACUUGCAGUCGUUUCUUUGGGCUUUGAGAGGGAGAGAAGACCCAGGGGCACUGUUUGAAGGAAGAGAGGAAGCAUUUCUUUCUGAGUGGCCUGGUGAAAGAGUUGAAGGCUGUCAAGCUGCAGGAUCCAGCAAGUUGAAAGGCCAGGUGCUUGAUGGAUUAGUCUACAUUUACGGACAAUUGGUUUUGUUUAUAUGGCGGGAGAGGAGAGAAAUUGGCUACAUGCUAGAGAGAAAUUGAGGUAGUAACUGCACUCUACAGGAAGAGUCUGAAACAGCCAGAAUUUGAUGAUCUUCCAGGCACACUGCAAAAGUAUCCCCUGGAGAAGUUUGGGGAGAGGGCUUGAGAGCAUGAUUCCCAGAAUGAUGAAGCAGUGGAAAGCACUGGUGAGCUCUAGACUUAAGAAGUGAAGGGAAAUAGGAUGACAACCAGUUCCCUGACUCUCCUUUUCUCCAGAUCUGGGUGCACAAGUGAAUCUGGGCCCACAACCAGAUCAACUUUUAGAAAAAUAUCUUGCAGCAAGGAAGAAGGGAGUGGUAAAAGAUUGGGAGUCUGUGUAGCAAUAGAUUAUUGGAAUUGUGGACCCUGGAGACAGUGAGUGGAGAAAUAUUACUGUUGUGACCGGGAUAGGAAAAGGGAGUGUGUUUUUCUUUUCUAUCUUUCUGCAUUUAUAUGCAAUAAAAAGAUGGUGGCCUAUUUUUUUUACAUGCUAAUUGCAUGAAGUAGCAUGAUCCAGUAGCAAAAACAGUGAAGGGUAUAGAUGAU